AUUGAACGCUGGCGGCAGGCCUAACACAUGCAAGUCGAACGAGUGGCGGACGUGUUAGUUAUGUCUGUGACACUUCCUGGUGGAUGGGGAUCACUAAUGGAAACGGUUGCUACUUCCGCAUACAAUCGGAUGUGCCCAGAUGGGUUUAGCUUGUUGGUGGGGUAACGGCGCACCAAGGCGACGAUCCCUAGCUGGUCUGAGAGGAUGACCAGCCACACUGGAACUGAGACACGGUCCAGACUCCUACGGGAGGCAGCAGUGGGGAAUAUUGUACAAUGGGCGCAAGCCUGAUGCAGCCAUGCCGCGUGUAUGAAGAAGGCCUGCGGGUUGUAAAGUACUUUCAGCGGGGAGGCGUUACCCGCAGAAGAAGCACCGGCUAACUCCGUGCCAGCCGCCGCGGUAAUUC
Molecule: ribosomal RNA, 406 nt
Filed under: uncultured bacterium
Lineage: Bacteria
Description: partial 16S ribosomal RNA
Rfam family: Bacterial small subunit ribosomal RNA
Source: RNAcentral